AUUGAACGCUGGCGGCAGGCCUAACACAUGCAAGUCGAGCGGAUGAAGGGAGCUUGCUCCUGGAUUCAGCGGCGGACGGGUGAGUAAUGCCUAGGAAUCUGCCUGGUAGUGGGGGAUAACGUCCGGAAACGGGCGCUAAUACCGCAUACGUCCCGAGGGAGAAAGUGGGGGAUCUUCGGACCUCACGCUAUCAGAUGAGCCUAGGUCGGAUUAGCUAGUUGGUGGGGUAAAGGCCUACCAAGGCGACGAUCCGUAACUGGUCUGAGAGGAUGAUCAGUCACACUGGAACUGAGACACGGUCCAGACUCCUACGGGAGGCAGCAGUGGGGAAUAUUGGACAAUGGGCGAAAGCCUGAUCCAGCCAUGCCGCGUGUGUGAAGAAGGUCUUCGGAUUGUAAAGCACUUCAAGUUGGGAGGAAGGGCAGUAAGUUAAUACCUUGCUGUUUUGACGUUACCAACAGAAUAAGCACCGGCUAACUUCGUG
This 484-nucleotide ribosomal RNA is filed under the name uncultured bacterium. Its description in RNAcentral is "partial 16S ribosomal RNA". It matches the Rfam family "Bacterial small subunit ribosomal RNA", at positions 30 to 507 of the family's 1533-position model. The record is from RNAcentral.